RNAcentral lists this ribosomal RNA (433 nucleotides) under uncultured bacterium. RNAcentral's name for it is "partial 16S ribosomal RNA". It matches the Rfam family "Bacterial small subunit ribosomal RNA", at positions 29 to 507 of the family's 1533-position model. The record is from RNAcentral.
AACGAACGCUGGCGGCAUGCCUAACACAUGCAAGUCGAACGAGACCUUCGGGUCUAGUGGCGCACGGGUGCGUAACGCGUGGGAACCUGCCCUUAGGUUCGGAAUAACUCAGAGAAAUUUGAGCUAAUACCGGAUAAUGUCUUCGGACCAAAGAUUUAUCGCCUUUGGAUGGGCCCGCGUAGGAUUAGCUUGUUGGUGGGGUAAUGGCCUACCAAGGCGACGAUCCUUAGCUGGUCUGAGAGGAUGAUCAGCCACACUGGGAAUGAGACACGGCCCAGACUCCUACGGGGGGCAGCAGUGGGGAAUAUUAGACAAGGGGGGAAAGUCUGAUACAGCAAUGCCGCGGGAGUGAUGAAGGCCUUUGGGUUGUAAAGCUCUUUUACCAGGGAUGAUAAUGACAGUACCUGGAGAAUAAGCUCCGGCUAACUCCGUG